GGCGGUUCUGCAAGUUGGGCGUGAAACCCCCGGGCCCAACCCGGGGCAAGCCGUUCAAUACUGCAGGACUUGAGGGCAGCAGAGGGAGGUGGAAUCCCGGUGUAGCGGUGAAAUGCGUAGAUAUCGGGAGGAACACCAGUGGCGAAGGCGGCCUCCUGGGCUGUUCCUGACGCUGAAUGCGAAAGCUAGGGUAGCGAACGGGAUUAGAAACCCCGGUAGUCCUAGCUGUAAACGAUGGAUGCUAGAUGUAGGGGGUGUAGAUUCCCUCUGUGUCGUAGCUAACGCGUUAAGCAUCCCGCCUGGGGACUACGGCCGCAAGGCUAAAACUCAAACGAAUUGACGGGGGCCCGCACAAGCAGCGGAGCGUGUGGUUUAAUUCGAUGCUACACGAAGAACCUUACCUGGGCUUGACAUGUAGGUAGUAGCGAAGCGAAAGCGGAGCGACCCUUCGGGGAGCCUACACAGGUGCUGCAUGGCUGUCGUCAGCUUCGUGCCGUGAGGUGUCGGGUUAAGUCCCGUAACGAGCGCAACCCCUGCUCUUAGUUAUACGUGUCUAAGAGGACUGCCGGCGGCAAGCCGGAGGAAGGUGGGGAUGACGUCAAGUCAGCAUGGCCUUUAUGUCCAGGGCUACACACACGCUACAAUGGCCGAUACAAUGGGUUGCGAAACCGCGAGGUGGAGCCAAUCCUCCAAAGUCGGUCUCAGUUCGGAUUGCAGGCUGCAACUCGCCUGCAUGAAGUCGGAGU
Molecule: ribosomal RNA, 746 nt
Filed under: uncultured Chloroflexota bacterium
Lineage: Bacteria; Bacillati; Chloroflexota
Description: bacterial SSU rRNA
Rfam family: Bacterial small subunit ribosomal RNA
Source: RNAcentral